UUUGCGGUCAUGUUUACGUUUGCUGUCUCGUGUGCUGUCAAGAGUAAUAGGACAAAAAUCUGUGGCAUCCGGAGCAGCGUGAGAGACGGGAGUACGUUCUCCCAUCUGGUGAGGUGAAGUACCUUGAUCCCUCGGUUUGUCCUGGUGACAUCGUUAAAGGAGGUCCCAGCCACAUCCUUUCAUGUGAGGUUUCCAUAGAUCCGGAGAUCCUUCCCCAGAGUGAGCUGGAUGGCGUGCGACAUUGAAUCUACUGAUACUGGUGAAAGAUUUGUUGAUUUUCCCCUUCCCCACGGACUGUGUGGUAGGACAGAACAAAUACACCCCAAUACACCAACACUGAUCAGACACAAUUGACAAAAGGGCCCCAACAAUAACUUUAGGACAGAGGGUUUUGUUUUUUGCCGGCUUUAUUAUUUUAGUUAUUUAGUUAUUGUUAUCUUUCAUCAAAUGUUUUGUGUAACAUAGCUGUUGUAAAUUCUGUGUGUUAAUGCUUCAAGUGGCCACACAAAAACGCCAACCCGUGUUUCCUGUGUCUUUUGGACUUUUAAAAAUUAAGGGCUCGUACCUUGUAAUCUUUCGUUAUUGGUCCAUUUAUUAGUAUUGAUCAUCAUUUACCUGUGCUCAGUUAUUACAUCAUAACAAAAGGGUUACAUACUGGUGAAAUUUGAAUGAAGUAGCUGGUGUUUGACCAGUAGAUAAGGCAGUAGAUUGGUUAACUUUUUGAAAUUCCUUAUGAUAAUGAAUUAUUUCCACCACAAAGAUGAUUCUGUUCGUGCUAAAGUUUAGUGUUGAGGCAUCAACAGUGAUUGUAGUCUAUUUACAGUAUCAAUGUUAUCAGUAACUAGAGACAUGCAGCCACAUAGAUCUCAAACCCUUCAAUGUAUACAGUAAUGACUUUCUUACUGUUAUUUGAGAAAUGUUUCAUUUCAUUAUAUCUGCAAUCUAUUUCUCUCCCUGGGGGCCUUCUUCGGCCAACAUUUCUAUAACGUGACUAUUUUAAGCAAUAAAAACAUAAUGUUUACUAUGGCUGACAAAAUCUUGCCAAUCAAAUGCAGCCAGUUGAGUCACAUGACAAGUGUUGUCAUGUGACUGCGUGCCGCGGCACCAGCUGUUGUGAUGGCUCGCUGGUUGCAACUGCAGGCUUUCAGCAGUGCUGUCACUAAAUAUACCAAACUCCU
Long non-coding RNA from Solea senegalensis (Senegalese sole), 1178 nucleotides. RefSeq lists it as uncharacterized. The record is from RefSeq and is a predicted model, not a curated record. The transcript has 3 exons. NCBI's taxonomy places the organism in Eukaryota, Metazoa, Chordata, Actinopteri, Pleuronectiformes, Soleidae.